UACGGGGGGAGCAAGCGUUGUUCGGAUUUACUGGGCGUAAAGGGCGCGUAGGCGGCCUGUUAAGUCGAACGUGAAAUCCCCGGGCUCAACCCGGGAACUGCGUCCGAUACUGGCAGGCUUGAAUCCGGGAGAGGGAUGCGGAAUUCCAGGUGUAGCGGUGAAAUGCGUAGAUAUUCGGAAGAACACCAGUGGCGAAGGCGACUUACUGGACACAUAUUGACGCUGAGGUGCGAAAGCGUGGGGAGCAAACAGG
This 253-nucleotide ribosomal RNA is filed under the name uncultured bacterium. RNAcentral's name for it is "partial 16S ribosomal RNA". It matches the Rfam family "Bacterial small subunit ribosomal RNA", at positions 524 to 776 of the family's 1533-position model. The record is from RNAcentral.